CCGUACACAAAAGCGCAUGUGCUGUGAGCUCGAUGAGUAGGGCGGGACACGUGGUAUCCUGUCUGAAUAUGGGGGGACCAUCCUCCAAGGCUAAAUACUCCUGACUGACCGAUAGUGAACCAGUACCGUGAGGGAAAGGCGAAAAGAACCCCGGCGAGGGGAGUGAAAAAGAACCUGAAACCGUGUACGUACAAGCAGUGGGAGCACAGGUUUACCUGUGUGACUGCGUACCUUUUGUAUAAUGGGUCAGCGACUUAUAUUCUGUAGCAAGGUUAACCGUAUAGGGGAGCCGGAGGGAAACCGAGUCUUAAUUGGGCGUUAAGUUGCAGGGUAUAGACCCGAAACCCGGUGAUCUAGCCAUGGGCAGGUUGAAGGUUGGGUAACACUAACUGGAGGACCGAACCGACUAAUGUUGAAAAAUUAGCGGAUGACCUGUGGCUGGGGGUGAAAGGCCAAUCAAACCGGGAGAUAGCUGGUUCUCCCCGAAAGCUAUUUAGGUAGCGCCUCGUGAAUUCAUCUCCGGGGGUAGAGCACUGUUUCGGCUAGGGGGCCAUCCCGGCUUACCAACCCGAUGCAAACUGCGAAUACCGGAGAAUGUUAUCACGGGAGACACACGGCGGGUGCUAACGUCCGUCGUGAAGAGGGAAACAACCCAGACCGCCAGCUAAGGUCCCAAAGUCAUGGUUAAGUGGGAAACGAUGUGGGAAGGCCCAGACAGCCAGGAUGUUGGCUUAGAAGCAGCCAUCAUUUAAAGAAAGCGUAAUAGCUCACUGGUCGAGUCGGCCUGCGCGGAAGAUGUAACGGGGCUAAACCAU
RNAcentral lists this ribosomal RNA (815 nucleotides) under Salmonella enterica subsp. enterica serovar Typhimurium. RNAcentral describes it as "partial 23S ribosomal RNA". It matches the Rfam family "Bacterial large subunit ribosomal RNA", at positions 373 to 1190 of the family's 2925-position model. Lineage: Bacteria; Pseudomonadati; Pseudomonadota; Gammaproteobacteria; Enterobacterales; Enterobacteriaceae. The record is from RNAcentral.